This is a non-coding RNA of Schistosoma rodhaini, 52 nucleotides long. The record is from Rfam. NCBI's taxonomy places the organism in Eukaryota, Metazoa, Platyhelminthes, Trematoda, Strigeidida, Schistosomatidae.
CUGUCAAUGAGGAGUCCCAAAAUAGGACGAAACGGCCGUCCAGUGCUUAUAG